This 65-nucleotide transfer RNA is filed under the name Sceloporus smaragdinus. RNAcentral describes it as "tRNA-Cys". The record is from RNAcentral. Lineage: Eukaryota; Metazoa; Chordata; Lepidosauria; Squamata; Phrynosomatidae.
AGCCUCGAGGUGUUUACACAUCAAAAUGCAAGUUUGAAGUUGAGCCCCAACAGGCUCCGGGGCUU